GCAGAUCCCGGCAACUUGCGAGCCGGGAAAAGUUUGCGGCGCCUCCGCGGGGCGGCGCGACGCGGCCCGUACCUCGCGUCCGCGGUCAUCGCGGGUGACUUUCUCGACUCGUCGUCAGCCGGGGCCGCUGCGCGGCCGGCGGGGACUGCGGGGCGGGCCGGAGUCCGUCCGAGGGCUCCCGCACCUCGGGCUGCGGGAACAUUAAAAUCUCCCCAGAUGCUCACUGCUCUGAUCAUUUCCCCUACAGCAUCAGACAUGUUGGCAUCAUCUCUUAGUUGGGCCCUGUGGCCAGGGAACCUUUCAUGAAACCACCUCUGCAGUCCUGGAGAGUUGCUGUAGAAGAAGGAAAAGAGAAGAAGACAACACAACACAGGAGGGGAUAAGUACCUCUGGACACAAUGGAAGUAGUAGUUGUUGAGCAGAGGGAAAGGGAUAGGAGAAGGAUGUGGACUGCAGUGCGGCAGUGCCAGGUAAUAACUUUGAUCAUGUACCUCCUUGGCUCAGGUGCUGUCUCUUCUACUCUCCUCCUUACUCGUACUACCUUAUUUAGCACUUAAUUAUAUACUUUCUUGACUCACUUUGAGACACACUGAUUAUGUGGUCUGCCUCAAAGACAGAAUCCUAGUUUUGGAUUUUAGCAUUACUGAUCUAUAGCCUUGCAGGGGCUUAAGGAUGGCAGCUGUCUCUCUCCCUUGGGAUCUAGCUUUUGCAAAUAUU
This 717-nucleotide long non-coding RNA is filed under the name Pan troglodytes (chimpanzee). Its description in RNAcentral is "lincRNA". The record is from RNAcentral. Lineage: Eukaryota; Metazoa; Chordata; Mammalia; Primates; Hominidae.